Molecule: long non-coding RNA, 1164 nt
Organism: Mustela lutreola (European mink)
Lineage: Eukaryota; Metazoa; Chordata; Mammalia; Carnivora; Mustelidae
Exons: 3
Source: RefSeq, a predicted model, not a curated record
UGGACAGGAAUAAGGCCUGGGAGCUACAAGCAGCCGGCUCAGGCCAGCUGGCAGCCAACAAGUCCCUUUCCUUCUCCCUUCCUCUGAUAGGUUAGCCCUGCUCGUGAGAAAUGGGACCUCUGCUGUGCACACAAGUGUCCAGGAGGCACACUCUCGCUGAAGAACAUCCUCUCCGCCCCAGCUGCUUCUUCAUACCCUUCUCUUUCCAACAGGUAUCUCAGCCUGGGCCAUCUUUUCAAUGCCUAUCUGCCACUGGGCGAGGAGGAGACCCUGAGCCUACCUGUGGUUGAAGGCACCCACCUAAAAGAGCAACAGCGAGCAGAAGUCGGGACAAGAUAGAGAGGCAGACCAAAGGCAGGAAUGAGAAGAUGAUAAGAGCAGUGUGGAAGCAAGCCCGGCAGGUUUCCUGGAGGAGGUUCUUGGUGACCUCACCUUUGACCAACAAUUUCCUGGCACUGGCUCAGGCUGCCAAGCGGGGUAGAGGGGGAGGAAGAGGAGUAUAAACAGCAGGUAAGGCCAAAGGUGGUUCUGGAAGGCAAGGGGCACAUUCCGAAAAGUCUCCCCAGCCUGAGGCCUGUGGCAGAGCCCAAAGUCCGAUAGCGAACCCACACCUGCAUUCCAGCCAUCCAAAGGGACCAUGAGUACCUGAGAACCCACCAGAAAGGAUGGCCCCCGGUGCCUGGGAAUUCCUCCCCUCCCCAGCUCCCCAAGUGCCCCCUUCUCCAGGAGGCCUUCUGGGUUCAGUGGAAGGAACUGAAGAUUUCCAUCUGGGCAUGACCUCCUUCCCCGUCGGCCUCCUCCUCUUCUCCCUUCUCCUCACUCCCCCUGCCCAGAGUGCCAGUGGGAGAACCUAAGAGGUAGUUGCUGGCUCCAGGCCCACGCUGCCAGUCACAGUCUGUGUGAUCUCGGGCAAGUCACCCAGCCUCCCCAAACCUUGGGUUUGUCAUCUGGAAGACAGAGCUGCUGACAGGGAAGGCUUUCACAGGGUUUUUAGAAAGAAUAAAUGAGAUAAUGUACAUGAAAUAAAAGUAGACAUUACUAUUCUAAAUGCUGGGUGUUAUUCUGGUAUCACGCAAACUUCUCAUUUACUCAAGAGGAAACAGGUCCAGAAAAGACAUGAAAAAAAUUGGGGAAUGGGGUACUCUCUCUCUCUCUUGCUUCCCC